This 479-nucleotide ribosomal RNA is filed under the name uncultured anaerobic ammonium-oxidizing bacterium. RNAcentral describes it as "bacterial SSU rRNA". It matches the Rfam family "Bacterial small subunit ribosomal RNA", at positions 364 to 833 of the family's 1533-position model. The record is from RNAcentral.
UUUCGCAAUGCCCGAAAGGGUGACGAAGCGACGCCGCGUGGGUGAGGAAGGCCUUCGGGUUGUAAAGCCCUGUCAGGAGUUAAGAAAUGUAAGUGCGCUAAUACCGCAUUUAUCUGACGAAGGCUCCAAAGGAAGUCACGGCUAACUCUGUGCCAGCAGCCGCGGUAAUACAGAGGUGGCAAGCGUUGUUCGGAAUUAUUGGGCGUAAAGAGCACGUAGGUGGGUUUGUAAGUCAGAUGUGAAAGCCUCCUGUUCAACGGGAGAAUUGCAUCUGAAACUACAGAUCUCGAGUGUAGGAGGGGAGAAUGGAACUUCUGGUGGAGCGGUGAAAUGCGUAGAUAUCAGAAGGAACGCCGGCGGCGAAAGCGAUUCUCUGGCCUAUUACUGACACUCAGUGUGCGAAAGCUAGGGUAGCAAACGGGAUUAGAUACCCCGGUAGUCCUAGCCGUAAACGAUGGGCACUAAGUAGAGGGGUUUUA